Molecule: small nuclear RNA, 104 nt
Filed under: Zostera marina
Lineage: Eukaryota; Viridiplantae; Streptophyta; Magnoliopsida; Alismatales; Zosteraceae
Source: RNAcentral
GUUUUUUUGAAGAUAUCUAAUAAAAUUGGAAUAAUACGGAGAAGAUUAGCAUGGUGGCCUAUGUCAGGAAUGACACGCACAAAUUAAAGAGUGUUUCUUCUUUA